This is a long non-coding RNA of Acinonyx jubatus (cheetah), 5064 nucleotides long. RefSeq lists it as uncharacterized. The record is from RefSeq and is a predicted model, not a curated record. Lineage: Eukaryota; Metazoa; Chordata; Mammalia; Carnivora; Felidae. The transcript is spliced from 2 exons.
UAGAUGCACGGAAAGGCAGAAACUUGACCUGGUCCCCAGCCUCUCAGGCAGGACAGCCGCUUUAUCCAGAGGCUCCUUCAUUCCUGGGCCUUCCAAGACACCUGGCUGCAAGGACACCAUGAAGAGGAAAAAAGAAUUUCAAGUGCAUUCUAAAAACCACCUUCAUUCUCUUGCCGUGUAGGGAAGGAGCAUGUACUCAAAGACCCAGCCAGGAAGAAAGAUUUGAUCUCCUGAGCAGGAUCCACUUCCCAUGGCGACGCCUUCUUGAGUAGAAGCUCUGGAUGGCAGUCACAGGGUUCCAGGACUCUCAGAGAGUGUUCCCAAAGACCCAGGUGGAAGCUGGAAAGGUUUUUCUGAUGUAGCUGCAGAAGGCAUGCAUCAUCAUUUGCAAGUGAGUCCCAGGACCAGUCUGGAUUCAAGGAGAGGGUGCUACCUAAGUACAUGAAUACUGAGAGGUACAGUUUAUUGGGACCCUCUUACAGUUGCAUGGAGCACAGAAUCAAAGGCUCCCCUAGGCUCUUUGAAUACACUUGUCUCUCUCUUUCCGGGGGUGGGGAGGAGGUCUGGCCAUCUUUUUAAUUUUGGCUGCAAGCUGGCUGCAGGAGCACAACCUUCCUGCAUGUGUCCACAGUCUCCUUCAAGGCCAGCAGAAUGUGGACAGCCCCAUUGUGAUCAGAGUACACAGUAAGUUACCAAACUCCUGUAAUGUUAGAGUGCCCGUUGCCACCUCCUCCAGCCCACUGCCACUUGGUAUCUUGGGGGCUUUGGCUUAAGCUGAACACCUUCACUGGAAACAUCUUGGAGAACUUGGCUUUGACUUACAUGAAGACUUGAGCAAGUAUCUAAAAGCUUGGCCUUCUCCUGAUAUGAGAAGCCAUCCAACAGUACUCACAGGGGUUUCAUGGGCAGGACUAGGAUGCCAUGCCCAUGCAUCCAAAAUGAUUGUUUUUAAUGGCUAUAAAAUAUUUCAUCCAGUGGGUGCAACAUGCUUUACCAAACCACUUCUCCACUCUUAAAUGUUUGCACUUUCUUAUUAUUUAUGAGUAAUACUAUAUGUUUUUGUGCACAGAGCCUUUUGUGUUAAAUUCUUCCCUUAAGAUAGAUUUCCAAGAGUAGUAUUAUGUUUUGGCUCUUGAUGUAUUUUAUCAGUUUGCUUUCCAAAGAAGCAAACAAUUCAUAUGCAAAUAGCACUGUAUGUGUAUAUUGGCUUUUCUGUAACCUCAACAGCGUUGAGAGUUACCAUUUUAAAAUGUUGUUUUCUAAUUUAAUAGGUGUAAAACCGAACUUAAGGUUGCUUUGAAUUUCUUUUUUCCCUGUUUACUCUGUCCUAAGUUGUCAGUUCUUCCCUCUUAAACCAAUAUUAUAAAGGGUUAGUUUGUUGAAUUUGUAUCAAUUUGGUACUGGUUGUUUAGGUGAAACUUAGGUCAUUCAAAGCAGUGGCUCUAGUACAAUUUGUAUUAAAGCUGUUCUUCUAACCAUUAAAAAGAUCAAAACAUUUAAGUUCUAAAUCUCAGAGAUAAGCAGCAGCAAUAUUUUUCUUCUUGGAUUCUGCACCUACAGGAAAUUCAUAAACAGGAGCAGUACCUAGUUAUAUCUGAAAUAACAGAGAAAACGCAACACAAACAAAAACCCAAAACGUUUGGAAAUAACCCCUUAUGUGUGUAAGACAACUUAGAGGUUAUAAGUAGCUUUCACAUUUAUUAUCUCAUUUGAGUUUUAUAUUCAUCCUGGUGGUAAACUGGAGGAGUUAUUAUGACCUUUUAACAAAUGAGAACAUUGAGGCUCAGAGAAGGUAAGUGCACAGUGACCCAGCUAGUUAACUAUGGCAGAUCUGAGUAGCAUUCAGGCUUUCUGACACCAAACAAAUUUGUUCCACAUUUAUUUAAAAAGUCAUUAGUGGUGACUCAUCACGUCUCAGGCAAUAGGCUAGAAGAUGGGGAUGCAGUUAUAAAUAAGAACCUGUCCUCCUGGAGCUUAUAGUCUAAUAGGAGAGAACAAUCACCAUAUAAACUAGGAAGCACAGGAGACCUAAACUACUCAGAGCAGACACUCAGGCCAGCCUGGGGUUGGGGGGCAGGAAUUAAGGUAGGCUUGUUAGAGGAAGUCAAGAUUAAUGAGCUACCUAUGCUAUGAGGGAUGGGGCAGGAUUGAUCUCGUCCAAGGGAAGUAAUUGAUACAGAAGUGAAGGUGUGUAUGGAGGUAGACAUGACAAGCCUUUGUUGGAUGUGGGAGGCGAGGGUGAGGGAUUCACUGCGGAUGAAGCCCAGGUUUCUGCCUGAGUAAGUUGGAAGGGUGGGAGAAGAGGAGUGAGAGGAGUAGAGGAGGAAGAGCAAGUCAGAGGCAUGUGGGUGUGCAUGCGUGUGAUGUGUGGUGAUUGUCAAGCUCUGAAAAUCCUCAGGUAAACAAGAACCUUUCUUUUCCCUAGAGAAAGCCAUAGUCCAAUGUGACCCUAACAAAUAAUUCUGAUAUAAAGUGAGAUGUGCUAUGUGGUAGACAUGUGUAUGAGGUUCUAAGGGCAGAGAGGAGGGCAGGACAAAAUCUGUGUGGUAGGAAGAGAACCAUCGAGGGGGUUUUGCAGAGGAAGCAAUACAAAUGUGGAGAGUGCAAGAGGGUUUCCAGUAACAGGUGUGAAGGAGCUGGGGGUUCUGUUUGGCAAGGUGAAGAGUAUGAAUGUGAGUUCUCUUGGAGCUGGAGAGGCUACGGGGCCGAGAGAUAUGGACUUCAUCUUGAUGAUGGUCUAGAGUUCAAGAAAUCCGAAUUCAAUCACUAGAAUGUAGCUACAUCCACUAGGAUGUAAGUUACCCAGGAGCAGUCAGUGAAUAGUGUCUGACACAUAGCAGACACUCAGGGAAUAUCUCUUGAAUGAAUGAGCAGUUGUUGAUAAAGAAAUCUUUGCUUUAUUUUCCAUAUUGUUGGGGAAAUUUCCCAACAUUAUCUAUUUUUUUUAUUAUAUACAUUUCAUAAUAAGGCUUAACAUAAAAAAUUUUUAAGUUUGUUUAUUUUUUGAGAGAGAGAGAGAGCAUGAGCGAGCAGGAGCAGAGAGAGAGGGAAAGAGAGAGAGAGAGAGAGAGAGGGAGACUCCCAAGCAGGCUCCGCACUGUCAGCACAGAGACUGAUGCAGGACUUGAACUCAUGUACCACAUGAUCAUGACCUGAGCUAAGACCAAGAGUCGGACACUUAACCAACUGAGCCACCCAGGCGCCCCCAAAUAUUUUAAAGACCGUUUAAAUUUUAUUUAUUUUGAGAGAGAGAGAGAGAGAGAGUGCACUCAUGUGAGUGCAAGCAGGAAAGGGGCAGAGAGAGAGAGGGAGAGAGAGAGAAUCCCAAGCACUCCACACUGUCAGUGUGGAGCCUGACAUGGAGCUCAAACCCAUGAACCAUGAGAUCAUGACCGAAGUCAAAACCAAGAGCUGGCCACUCAACCAAUUGAGCCACCUAGGCACCCCAUAAAAAUUUUAUACCAAGUUAAAAGCAGAUUUUGUUCAUAUGUGAUUAUGAACAAAUAAUUCAUAAAUAAUUUUUUAAAUAAAAAAUCACAAAUCACAAUUUUUUUCUUUUUUCUUUUUUAAUUUAUUUUUUAUUUUUUUUUAUUUUUUUUAAUGUUUAUUUAUUUCAGAGACAGAGAGAGACAGAGCAUGAGUGGGGGAGGGGCAGAGAGAGAAGGAGACAGAAUCUGAAGCAGGCUACAGGCUCUGAGCAGUCAGCACAGAGCCCGACACGGGACUCGAACUCACAAAUCGUGAGAUCAUGACCUGAGCUGAAGUCGAUCACUCAACCGACUGAGCUACCCAGGCGCCCCACAAAUAAUUUUUUUUAAAUAAAAAGCAAUGUAUAAGUAGUUUUUGUGGAUCUGUAAAAUUUCCCCAUAAGGGUUGCAUAUUAUGUAAGAAUUGAGAAGGGCAUUGGACCAUUUUGAAAAUAUGAAUAGAUGCUAAAGCAUUUUACUUGAUGCUUUUUUCAUUAUCAUUAAAAAGUUGGGAAAGAUUAGAUAACGAAAAUAAGUUGAAAAUUUUUAGAUAUUUCUAGACCAUGUUCUAUCCUGGAACCAGCAAACUUGGUGGGUUUAGCAAGUAUUUUCAAAUGUCAUCCUUGUUGAGGUGAUGAAUAAUACUUAACAACUAACAAAAAGUUAUCAGAUGUUAGAGAUGGGGGAUCCCUUUGACUUCUGGUCCGUCUUUUCAUUGUAUAGGUGAGAAACUGGGGCCCAGAGAGGGAAGGGGACUUGUCAAGAAAACACAGUAAAUCAGAGGGAGAGUCAAGAAUGGCAUUAAGAUAUUUGACUCUUAGUCCCUCACCCUCUUUAUUAUUCCAUGGUGUAGUGGCUACUGUUUUUGUCUAUCUAGAACCCCUUCUUCAAGUUCAGGAAACUGACUUCAUCUCUCUGGCUAUAGGGGUAGGCAUGUACUAGGCCAAUCAUUUUAUAUGCUUCACUUUUUCUGGCAUUAGUCAUUGGUUCAAGGGAUGAGCAUAUGACCCAAACUUUACCAAUCAGAAUCCUUCCCUGGAAUUUGUGGAAAGAAAAGGACCUUUUUCUCUCUAGAUGUGAAGCUGUGAAGAUAUGAACUCAGAGCUGGGUGGCUAAUCCUGUGUCACAUGGAAAGAAUGAGAACAGAAGGAAAACAGAGAGAAAAGAGAGGCAGUCCAGAUGGGAGUUGAAUUACUUAUUCUAGUUGCCAAGGUGUGUCCAUCCAUCAAACACCAAUGAUAAUAUCUUAACAAUAACCAUACUGAUUUUUUUUUUCUUCUUUUGCUUAAACAAGUUGGGCUUGAGUUCCUGUUCCUUUCAGCCAAAGAAUCUAGCCCAGGAUUUCCUAACAGCAGUAGUAUUGACAUUUUGGAACAGAACACUCUGUGUUGGGAGGGGCUGCUCUGUGUACUGUAAGAUGUUUAGUAGCAGCCCUGGCCUUUUACCCCACUAGAUGCCAGUAGCACCUCACCCCAACUGUGACAACCAAAAAUGUAUCCAGACAUUGCCAGAUGUCCCCUGGGGGAUGGAACAAAAUUGCCCCUGGCUGAGAACCACUGGUCUAGUCUUACUUAAACAAACAAACAAACAAACAAAC